Molecule: small nuclear RNA, 23 nt
Filed under: Arabidopsis thaliana (thale cress)
Lineage: Eukaryota; Viridiplantae; Streptophyta; Magnoliopsida; Brassicales; Brassicaceae
Description: snRNA_09584
Source: RNAcentral
AGUAGGGGAGACAAUCCCACCAA